GCGCGCCUCCGCCCGCUUGAAGCCGGCGGCGGCUCCGCUCAACUUCGGCGAAGGGGCCGGCGUCGAGGCGGCGCUGCCCCGGCGCGGCCAGCGGCCGCUCGCCUCAGCGUCGGCGGCGGGACGGGAGCGGGUGGCCGCGUGAAGACACACAGAGCACUAUGUCACUGGCAUCCUGGUUCAGGUGGAAUGAGCCCCCAAACCGCAUUUCCCAGAGGAACCCCACAGAAAUGGUGGUUGAGACGCUCAUGAUGGAGCUGAGCUGGCAAACCAAGCAGGCAGAGAAGCAGCAGCGAGAGCGGGAGAAUGAGUAUCGCAAGAUCAAGACUGGGGUGGACUACGGCUGGCUGGUCAGCUACCCAAAGCAGAGCUAUGAUAUCAGCCCAGGAGAACGGCUGCAGCUGGAGGAUAUGUGUACCAAAAUACAUCCUUCCUACUGUGGGCAUGUCAUACUCAGAUUCCGGCAACUCAUUGCUGAAUAUGAACCAGAAGUGCAGGAAGUAUCCCGGCUUUUCCGCUCUGUCCUGCAGGAAACUGCUGAAAAGAUCAAAGAGGAGGAAGAAGCCAAAAAGCUUGCCAGGCAAUGGAACACAAAGAACAAAACCAGCCUCUCCUUAACAACUUUUAAAUCCCGGUCCAGGAUUUCCCCCUUCAUCAGCGACAUCAAGACCAUCUCUGAGGAUGUGGAAAGGGGCACCCAGCCCACCAGAAGGGUUUGGAGCAUGCCAGAAUUUCGGAAUGCCAAGGAUUACUGACUCUAUACUGAACAAGGUUUUUAGACAGUGAUCUUUCAAAAUCCCAGUUAACCCUUUUUUAGCUCUACUGUCUCUUCUUUGUUGCAACUCUCUCUUCCUGCCUGUCUCCCUCUUGGAAGUUGUGUCCAUAGUAACUGCUGCUGAUGCCCGCGGUGUGUGACACGAUUUAUUACCAAACAUGCUAGCCUUUCCUUUAAUUUAGUAGCUAUUCAGUAACCUUAAGGGCAAGGCUUACUUACUAUCUCAUUUUUAUUACUGCUUUCUUGUGGAAAAUGAAUUAGUUUUGUGAUGUCUGUCUUUUCCUUUCACCCUCCCCCCCAAGCCUGGAUGUAGUUAUCUAUAAAAGCUUUUGGCCCAAGCUAGUGAGAGCUGCUGGCUGGAGGGAAUCCUGCUGAAAGCAAGGCAGCCACUUAUAUGACUAAGGCUUGCAGGAUCAGGCCUGUAGGUUAAAGCUAGUAUCUGAUUUGGAACUGAACUUCCUUUUCCAACUAAUAACCUUUCUCACUGCUACAGGAAACUUCACAGGUAACCUCAGCACUGCUCUUGAUCAGCUUUUUGCUGGCAAUUUGCAAUCCAACCUGAGUAGAAACAGACCCAAGCUUUUUGAGAUGAAAGACCAAUAUUAUUCCACAGCAACCAGUUUAUGCAUGCUCAGGUUUCUUGGGUAUUUUCUCUUUUGUGCAGGCAGAACCCCCUGAACCUCGCAGCUGCAGAGUAGAUAGAAACUUUACAACCCGCUGUGUAGAUAUACAGGUGGAUACAUCAGUGCUGUGUCAAAUGCUGUUCUUGGUCCUCAGCGGUCUCUGUUGCUGAGGUUUUGGUAUCAGGCCAGAGCAUCACUGUUGCCCUGUUGCUGAGAGUGUCAUGCUGUCUAAAGGACAUUGUCACACCCAAGAAAAAGCAGUCCUAGACUUACUAUACAUUCUAAAAAUCAGUGGCAACACCUCUACAGCAGCUCAGCUGCACUGCUCAGCUCCAAGGGGCUGAUGCUCCUCAGAGUCAGUACUCACCUGGGAGAGACUGUGCAGCCCUGCUUCUGUGACUCCUACAGACGAUCCUGGCCCACAGGCUGAGGUAGCCAGCAAAGGUGUGCAGGAGGUGAGGUUCCUCACCCAUAUCAGCAUACAGCUCAGACAGCUAGCACGCCGUGGGGAAUUGGAGUAAGCUUCGCAGGAAAUACCUGUCUGCUGAGAUUGCACUGUUUAUACAUUUCAUCACAGAACCUCAGAAAAUUAAAGCAAAGCUGUGAAAUACAAAACAAUUUUUUGUACUUCUUGUCUUUAAUUAAAGAUCUCCUGAAAUAUAAUCUGUCCUCAUCUAGCCAAACAAAACAGCUGGUCCACUGCCCUACUGUACACUAUGUAGGUAUCAAAGGAGGAAGGCAAGAAUGGUAAAGGCACUUGAUAUAAAUAAAAAACCUCAUCCUCUCUCUACGGGCUACAAAUGCAGUCGCCUACCUUCUAUCUUGCUACUUCUACAAAGAGAUCCCAGGAUUUAAGGUGAUAAAUAACCAGCAUUAAACAACUGCAAAGGUCUGAAAUUGUCUGAAGCUAAGUGGUUUACAGAUACAACCUUGAACUGAAGUCUGCAUCAACAUGCUUCCAAGCACAUCUUACAUUGAAAUGAGAAGAUAUAAGCAACAAAAUGGAUGUUUUAUCUCCAGAUACUUUUCAGUCACUUCUAUUGAUUCUGUACCUGAUCCUGGCUAGUAGAACACCUUUAUAUUAGUAGAUGGCUCCAGAUGGCUCAGGGAUCCCUGUUCUAAGCAUCAUAUAUGCAAAGCAUGCAUAUGCUAAACAAAAGGAAGUAAUUUUUUUUCACCACACAAAGUAAUACUGAAGUAUGGAUUGCCUUGCUCAGCAUAUUCUGCAGAUCAGACAGACAAGUUGUUCAAAAGGGGACUACCCAAGUUCAGAGGGUUAGUAAACCACAGUACUCAGGAUGCAGCCUACAGCACUUCCCAGAAGCUGCCAGCACUUGACAAGCAAAUCUCUCUGUGUCGUUGCUUACACUGCUUCCCCAAAACAUUACUAUAGGCCUCUCCCAGGAGGAAAACAUGGACAGCUAGGCCUUGACUGCAUGGCCAUUCUGAUAUUCUUGUGUUCUGCUGCACCUCCUUGAAAAAAGGAUUGUAGUUUUGCCCCAAAAGCAUUCCAAAGCACUAGACUGCAUGAGUAAAACCUUUUCUGGUUGUGCCCUGCAAUAGAGGCAGGGCUAUUAAACCUCCCUCAGUUCUACCCACCUGUGCCAGGCAGAGACAUCGUAAUUUCGGCGCCUGCCUUCCCCUGAUACUGCUGUCCGUGCCAUGGGCUGUCAGCACAAGGGACCUCUUGUUCCCUUUGUAUGAUCAGACAAGCCACAUUUCAAGCCAGCUUAUAUCAGAAAGAUACUGUGCUGGCCCUGAGAGUUAGGGUCUCCCAAUGACUUCCAUGUAUUUUCUGUGCAGUUGCUGCACAAAGAUGUGCUCAAACUAAGGGAAAAUAAUCUUUGCAGGAUGAGAUCUUAAUAAACAUGACAGAAAUGUGAGGAAAAGGGCUGCAAGAUGCACAGUGAAUUAUGUGGUGACUUACGGUCAUCUGUGUAUAGUGUACGCUUCAUAAAAUUAUAAAUUCCUAGGGUCUUGGCUGGAUAACCGGAUUACAGCACCUGACCUCUAUAUUUUUGUCACAAUUACAUUUUGCCUCUAUCAAAUAAAUCUAACCUGACCCAGUAGCACAAUACUGCAGAAGUGUGGGAAAGACCAUGUGUGCUUUCUACAUCAGAGUAUCUACUCUCAGAAUUUAAUUACUGUUACAUCUGUUUAGCGAUCACACUGCCACAUUCUCAGAGGCUUCUAUCAGGUCAUAGUCCACAUGCAGUACCUUUUCCAACAUUAAUUUCUGCAGUGUCAUGUUGCCUAAAGCAACAAAUUGCACCCAAUUUAGUCUGAAGACUAUUUAAAUAACCAGAUGUGGUAUGAAGCAGUGACAGUGAAAUACUCCUCAGGUAUUUUGUCUAUUUUUUUCCUAUAUUCUGGCACUGGAAGUCUGAAAUUAUUUCAGAGAUGGAGAAGUGCAGGGUGCGGUUUCUGAAGAACCCAGCAGCCCCAAGUAGGGCUGGUGCAAGAACAUCUGGUCCUUCCAGGUCCCUUCCUGCUCUCAGCAACUUGCUCCUGUUGCAUUCAACUGCUUAGAAGUUAAAGGCUUCCUUCUGCCUUCAGCACACAAGAAGCAACAAGAGAGACUAUUGUCUGUCCACAACACAGCCAACAGCAAGAAACAAACAAAGACUAGAUUAAAUUCAUAGGACAGCAGUAACAAAUGUUCCCCAUAAACACCACAUAAUUAGGUCUUUGCAGGCUAAUUACAGGGUUGCAGAAUAAGAAAGUGCAAAGCCACUGUCCGAAGGUAAAAUAAAUAAUUAAUUUUAAAAAUUCCGUGACAGUCCAGCUGGACAGCAAUGCCACCUGCUGGCAGACUUCCCAGCACUAAUUAACCAAGAAACAGGCAGCCACUUUCUAACCAGGCCUCUCCUGACAAAUAGAGAUUCCUGACUCUCCCGCUUCCUUUGCCUCCCACCAUGGUCACCGCAGAGCGGCCCACCAACAGAGAGCAACAUGAACACAACUGAUGGUAGCUGUAGUGUUUAGGACCUUAUUGGAAGACAGCACCAGUGGGCAGCACACUGGUAUCAGAACAGUUGUCAUCUUAAACAUUGUGUCUCUGCCAUCAAAAUAUACUUAUCAGACUGGAUAUUAAUGAUGUUCUUCACGCUGCUUGAACAGGCUGAAAACAUGCUUCCUUAGAGCUCUCAGCACCAUCUCCUGCUCUCCCCUCAGAAAACACCAGAUGUUUCAUGUUCCUUGUGAAUCACAAUUUAAGACUGAAAUUGAACGGGCAGAAAAAAAUACCUGCUGUCAACCACCAAAUAAAUCA
Molecule: RNA transcript, 4666 nt
Organism: Calidris pugnax (ruff)
Lineage: Eukaryota; Metazoa; Chordata; Aves; Charadriiformes; Scolopacidae
Gene: RD3
Gene name: retinal degeneration 3
Exons: 4
Source: RefSeq, a predicted model, not a curated record